RNAcentral lists this ribosomal RNA (849 nucleotides) under uncultured bacterium. Its description in RNAcentral is "bacterial SSU rRNA". It matches the Rfam family "Bacterial small subunit ribosomal RNA", at positions 687 to 1533 of the family's 1533-position model. The record is from RNAcentral.
UGGCUAUAAUGGUAAGGAAAAUCCAGUGGCGAAGGCGGCCACCUGGACAAAUACUGACGCUGAGGUACGAAAGCUUGGGGAGCGAACAGGAUUAGAUACCCUGGUAGUCCACGCCGUAAACGAUGUCAACUAGCCGUCUGUUUCCUUGAGAAGUGGGUGGCGCAGCUAACGCGCUAAGUUGACCGCCUGGGGAGUACGGCCGCAAGGUUAAAACUCAAAUGAAUUGACGGGGGCCCGCACAAGCGAUGGAGCAUGUGGUUUAAUUCGAUGCAACGCGAAGAACCUUACCAUCCCUUGACAUCCAGAGAAUUUUCUAGAGAUAGAUUAGUGCCUUCGGGAACUCUGAGACAGGUGCUGCAUGGCUGUCGUCAGCUCGUGUUGUGAAAUGUUGGGUUAAGUCCCGCAACGAGCGCAACCCCUAUCCUUAUUUGCCAGCGAGUUAUGUCGGGAACUUUAAGGAGACUGCCGGUGAUGAACCGGAGGAAGGCGGGGACGACGUCAAGUCAUCAUGGCCCUUACGGGAUGGGCUACACACGUGCUACAAUGGCAGAUACAGAGGGCAGCAAGACCGCGAGGUGGAGCGAAUCCCAGAAAGUCUGUCGUAGUCCGGAUUGGAGUCUGCAACUCGACUCCAUGAAGUCGGAAUCGCUAGUAAUCGUGGAUCAGAAUGCCACGGUGAAUACGUUCCCGGGCCUUGUACACACCGCCCGUCACACCAUGGGAGUGGGUUGCAAAAGAAGUAGCUAGUCUAACCUUCGGGAGGACGGUUACCACUUUGUGAUUCAUGACUGGGGUGAAGUCGUAACAAGGUAACCCUAGGGGAACCUGGGGCUGGAUCACCUCCUUUCU